Molecule: ribosomal RNA, 274 nt
Filed under: uncultured bacterium
Lineage: Bacteria
Description: partial 16S ribosomal RNA
Rfam family: Bacterial small subunit ribosomal RNA
Source: RNAcentral
AUACGUAGGGGGCGAGCGUUACCCGGAAUCACUGGGCGUAAAGGACGUGUAGGCGGAUUGUCUAGUCAGGCGUGAAAGCCCCGGGCUUAACCUGGGAACUGCGCUUGAUACUGACAGUCUAGAGUCCGGAAGAGGGUGGUGGAAUUCCCAGUGUAGAGGUGAAAUUCGUAGAUAUUGGGAAGAACACCAGUGGCGAAGGCGGCCACCUGGUCCGGUACUGACGCUGAGGCGCGAAAGCGUGGGGAGCAAACAGGAUUAGAAACCCCAGUAGUCC